This 482-nucleotide ribosomal RNA is filed under the name uncultured bacterium. Its description in RNAcentral is "partial 16S ribosomal RNA". It matches the Rfam family "Bacterial small subunit ribosomal RNA", at positions 30 to 507 of the family's 1533-position model. The record is from RNAcentral.
AUUGAACGCUGGCGGCAUGCUUUACACAUGCAAGUCGAACGGUAACAGGCCGCAAGGUGCUGACGAGUGGCGAACGGGUGAGUAAUGCAUCGGAACGUGCCCAGUCGUGGGGGAUAACUACUCGAAAGAGUAGCUAAUACCGCAUACGAUCUAUGGAUGAAAUCGGGGGACCGUAAGGCCUCGCGCGAUUGGAGCGGCCGAUGUCCGAUUAGGUAGUGGGUGGGGUAAAGGCUCACCAAGCCAACGAUCUGUAGCUGGUCUGAGAGGACGAGCAGCCACACUGGGACUGAGACACGGCCCAGACUCCUACGGGAGGCAGCAGUGGGGAAUUUUGGACAAUGGGCGCAAGCCUGAUCCAGCAAUGCCGCGUGCAGGAAGAAGGCCUUCGGGUUGUAAACUGCUUUUGUACGGAACGAAACGGCUCUGGUUAAUACCCGGGGCUAAUGACGGUACCGUAAGAAUAAGCACCGGCUAACUACGUG